CCGGUUUACAACUCCCAAACCCCUGUGAACAUACCACUUGUUGCCUCGGCGGAUCAGCCCGCUCCCGGUAAAACGGGACGGCCCGCCAGAGGACCCCUAAACUCUGUUUCUAUAUGUAACUUCUGAGUAAAACCAUAAAUAAAUCA
Molecule: unclassified non-coding RNA, 146 nt
Filed under: soil metagenome
Description: partial internal transcribed spacer 1
Source: RNAcentral